UAACCAUGUUGGGGGCAUCUUCUAAGUAGAUCUUUGAAUCUCUCCCAAGCUUCAUAGAAUGAUUCAAAGUCAACUUGUCUGAACUGACCAAUUUCACUCUACAAUUGAGCUG
RNAcentral lists this small nucleolar RNA (112 nucleotides) under Olea europaea subsp. europaea. Its description in RNAcentral is "Plant small nucleolar RNA R71". It matches the Rfam family "Plant small nucleolar RNA R71". Rfam says of the family: R71 is a member of the C/D box family of snoRNAs containing the C (UGAUGA) and D (CUGA) box motifs. Multiple nearly identical copies of this snoRNA have been identified in Arabidopsis, and it is thought to function as a 2'-O-ribose methylation guide for 18S ribosomal RNA. The record is from Rfam by way of RNAcentral. Lineage: Eukaryota; Viridiplantae; Streptophyta; Magnoliopsida; Lamiales; Oleaceae.